RNAcentral lists this long non-coding RNA (619 nucleotides) under Setaria viridis. Its description in RNAcentral is "long non-coding RNA (SVIR_LNC004587)". The record is from RNAcentral. Lineage: Eukaryota; Viridiplantae; Streptophyta; Magnoliopsida; Poales; Poaceae.
AUCGGCAGAAGUAUACUGGAGGAUGACGUGGUCGAAUUUUGGAUUAAUUGGAGGAUGUUUGGCACAUGAAAUGAGGAGUUAAACAUGGAUUGGGGACUUAAAAAGGAGGUUUAGGACUGAUUUGCGAGGAACGAGGGACCUAUUUGUAAAUACUUUUGGGAGUGGAGGGGCAGAUCUACGAAACAACCUUUGAGAGAGGUGGAAGGGUUAUUUCAUGAAAUAAGGAAAACUGGGGUUUAGAUCGGAAAUUUGGGGAAUCUUAUCUCUUCCUCUUCCAAGAACAUGGAGAGAGAGACAGAGAGUGGGGGAGAUGGCCGACGGUGGCCGGCCGGCUGGGCUCACCGGCGGCGAGCCGUGGGCGGAGGGGGUGGAGGAAGUGGAGGGGGCUCCAUUUUGCCCAUUACCGUGAGGAUUUGGAGGUGGAGAAGGGGCGGCUGGUAGGAGCUUGGGGUGGGCGCACGGGCGGCGGCGCAUGGGUGGCGACGGAGGCGGCUUGGCAUGAGGGAGGUGAGGGCUUAGGCAGCGCUGGUGGUGGAGGAUGGGGCGAGGUGGGGCGUCACCUCUGCCCUUUUAUAGGCCGACGGGAGUGGGCAGCGGCGUGCGGCAUGGGAGGGGGCCG